UCUAUAUUGAGAUAGGAAACGCUUGAGUAGUAAUUAGUUAUUUGCUUGAAAUUUAAAGAAUUUGGCGGUAUUUUAGUCAAGUUAGAGGAACCUGUCCUGUAAACGAUAUACCACGAAGAAUCUUACUAUAUUAGGUUAUUCAGUUUGUAUACCGUCAUUAUUAGGUAAUUUUAAUAAGAAUUAUCGUCGUAGAUUAUUCUAGUAUAUUAGAUCAAGGUGCAGCUUAUAAUAUAGAAGAGAUGGGUUACAAUGUAUUUAUAUACAAACGGAUGAAAAAGGGAAAUGUUUUUUAAAGGUGGAUUUAAUAGUAAAGAUAUUUUAAUAUGGUAUUUUGAUAAAAGCUCUAAA
This 348-nucleotide ribosomal RNA is filed under the name Eugonatonotus chacei. Its description in RNAcentral is "partial 12S ribosomal RNA". The record is from RNAcentral. Lineage: Eukaryota; Metazoa; Arthropoda; Malacostraca; Decapoda; Eugonatonotidae.